RNAcentral lists this ribosomal RNA (257 nucleotides) under uncultured bacterium. RNAcentral describes it as "partial 16S ribosomal RNA". It matches the Rfam family "Bacterial small subunit ribosomal RNA", at positions 524 to 776 of the family's 1533-position model. The record is from RNAcentral.
UACGUAGGGGGCAAGCGUUGUCCGGAAUCAUUGGGCGUAAAGAGCGUGUAGGCGGUUCGGUAAGUCGGCUGUGAAAGUCCAGGGCUCAACCCUGGGAUGCCGGUCGAUACUGCCGGACUAGAGUUCGAAGAGGCGAGUGGAAUUCCCGGUGAUCGAGCGGUGGAAAUGACGCAGAUAUCGGGAGGAACACCUAUGGCGAAGGCAGCUCGCUGGGACGUUACUGACGCUGAGACGCGAAAGCGUGGGGAGCAAACAGG